RNAcentral lists this ribosomal RNA (493 nucleotides) under uncultured bacterium. Its description in RNAcentral is "partial 16S ribosomal RNA". It matches the Rfam family "Bacterial small subunit ribosomal RNA", at positions 29 to 507 of the family's 1533-position model. The record is from RNAcentral.
ACGAACGCUGGCGGCGUGCUUCACCCAUGCAAGUCGAACGGUGAAGCGCCUUCCUUUUUGGUGGGUGUGGAUGAGUGGCGAACGGGUGAGUAACACGUGAGUAACCUGCCCCCUUCUUCUGGAUAACCGCAUGAAAGUGUGGCUAAUACGGGAUAUUCUGGGUCUGUCGCAUGAUGGGUCUGGGAAAGAUAUUGUUUCGGUGGGGGAUGGGCUCGCGGCCUAUCAGCUUGUUGGUGGGGUGAUGGCCUACCAAGGCGGUGACGGGUAGCCGGCCUGAGAGGGUGGACGGUCACACUGGGACUGAGACACGGCCCAGACUCCUACGGGAGGCAGCAGUGGGGAAUAUUGCACAAUGGGCGCAAGCCUGAUGCAGCGACGCCGCGUGAGGGAUGGAGGCCUUCGGGUUGUGAACCUCUUUCGCCAGUGAAGCAGGCCUGCCUCGUUUGUGGGUGGGUUGACGGUAGCUGGAUAAGAAGCGCCGGCUAACUACGUG